GGGCUAGCUAAUAAUAUGAAGGCAUCUCGAUCGUCUUAGCCUCUCUGCCUGUGUUGCUUUCGAUCAGAUCAUUGAAUAGAGCAUAGAUACUUUCUUCCUUUGUCUCGCCUCUAGCCUACAACUGCAUGCAACGAGUAUAUGAGUGCAGCAUUAAUUGGGCAGCUCAAAGGACGAUCGAUCAAGACGACUGAACCAGUGACGACAGUGCAUCAUCGAUCAGCUUCUCAGGGCAUAUGUAGCGAACGGGUAAAAAAGAUCGAGACAAAAAAAGGUUUGGUUUGAGACGACGCGUACGUACAUAUGCGUACAUCUGGGCUCAUCUGGGCAUGCAUAGAGAGGCGUUGUAGCCGCGUUGUUUGCUGCGUACGCGGUGAGCGCAUUGAGCGGGGAGAAGGCUGUGUGGGCAGUCAACAGAUGCCUCAGCACGUCGCAGCUCACGUACAUCGAUCUACCAUGUACAGCCUAUCGAAUAAAUGGAAAAAGUCUACAUCACCCACUGAAUAUAAAACGGUCUAAUUUAUUCCCUGAAACUAUCCAAAACCGUUCAAAUCACCACUGAGCGGUUUUUUAUGAUGGUUUUGAUACAGUAACUAUAGUUUUGCUACAGUAACAGUGGUUUUGACUUGAACAUAAAAGGAUGGCUUGGUUCUGAAAGGCUGUACA
This 663-nucleotide long non-coding RNA is filed under the name Sorghum bicolor (sorghum). RNAcentral describes it as "long non-coding RNA (SBIC_LNC002478)". Lineage: Eukaryota; Viridiplantae; Streptophyta; Magnoliopsida; Poales; Poaceae. The record is from RNAcentral.